GAGAACCAAAAGGCAGUUGGCAGAGGCAUUUGAAUACUGCUCCCCCAGGACCUCGGGCAGUUGAGCCAACAGGCUGAGGCUAGUCUGGGUCUGAGAACAUCUCUCCUGAGCAUCCCCCAGUGUCUGAAUUUUCUCCAAGGAUGGAGCUUCCAACCGUUGGAGAAAACGGAGGACACAGGCACGGCAGCAGCACUCACGCUGCGCUGGUUUAACGUCAGGCGUGACCGUGGUCUGCCCUUUGGGAGAAAGGCAGAGCAGUGCCUUUCUGGAAGAUAGCUUUGAGACCGUCCAACUUGGAACGUCUCUGGACCUCACCUCCCAGACUUCCCCUCACUGGAGACAAGAGGCCUGUUUGAUUGCGUAUUUUUAUUUAGAAGGUCAGUUGCAGCAAUGAAGAAAAGCUGAAAUAAACUGCUUUCUACAACCUUUUUUGCAAUAGCUUUCACAUUCAAGACGGAAGACACCACUCAGUUCAAACUGGGAACAGAUUUUAGAAUGUCAGGGACAGCUGCGGAGUGAUUCUCUCAAAGUCCCAGGGCCCAAAAAUACUUGUCAGGCUGGGAGAACGAGGAGAAAGACGCUGUCCUCCAGCUGUUUGAAGAGAAAUCAACGCCUCCAAAAGGUUCCCCGUAAAACCAGCCAAUCCCCUCCUCUCCGCCAGCCAGCUCUCGGGCAGGCCUCCCUGUUUCCACUCUCCCUGUUUCCACGCUGCAAACGCAGAAGCCGCUCUUGACUCAGCCUCUCUCUGCCCUCUCGUGGCAGCGUGGGGUGGAAAGAGCGUGAGCCCGAAGAGGAUGUGAUGGCGGGAUACCCGGCCUGGGUCAUGCUUGCCCUGCGGUGAGAAUCUUCACUUCACUGAGCCCCACUUUCCUUGCAUGUGUCAUGGCGAUGAUGGCUUCCAUUUCCCAGGGUAGUUUCAGGAUGAAAUAAAGUAGUCCAUGAAAGCA
Molecule: non-coding RNA, 947 nt
Organism: Equus caballus (horse)
Lineage: Eukaryota; Metazoa; Chordata; Mammalia; Perissodactyla; Equidae
Source: RefSeq, a predicted model, not a curated record